RNAcentral lists this ribosomal RNA (673 nucleotides) under uncultured bacterium. Its description in RNAcentral is "bacterial SSU rRNA". It matches the Rfam family "Bacterial small subunit ribosomal RNA", at positions 100 to 760 of the family's 1533-position model. The record is from RNAcentral.
GACGGGUGAGUAACACGUGGGCAACCUGCCUGUAAGACUGGGAUAACUUCGGGAAACCGAAGCUAAUACCGGAUAGGAUCUUCUCCUUCAUGGGAGAUGAUUGAAAGAUGGUUUCGGCUAUCACUUACAGAUGGGCCCGCGGUGCAUUAGCUAGUUGGUGAGGUAACGGCUCACCAAGGCAACGAUGCAUAGCCGACCUGAGAGGGUGAUCGGCCACACUGGGACUGAGACACGGCCCAGACUCCUACGGGAGGCAGCAGUAGGGAAUCUUCCGCAAUGGACGAAAGUCUGACGGAGCAACGCCGCGUGAGUGAUGAAGGCUUUCGGGUCGUAAAACUCUGUUGUUAGGGAAGAACAAGUACGAGAGUAACUGCUCGUACCUUGACGGUACCUAACCAGAAAGCCACGGCUAACUACGUGCCAGCAGCCGCGGUAAUACGUAGGUGGCAAGCGUUAUCCGGAAUUAUUGGGCGUAAAGCGCGCGCAGGCGGUUUCUUAAGUCUGAUGUGAAAGCCCACGGCUCAACCGUGGAGGGUCAUUGGAAACUGGGGAACUUGAGUGCAGAAGAGAAAAGCGGAAUUCCACGUGUAGCGGUGAAAUGCGUAGAGAUGUGGAGGAACACCAGUGGCGAAGGCGGCUUUUUGGUCUGUAACUGACGCUGAGGCGCGAAAGC